Molecule: ribosomal RNA, 2774 nt
Filed under: Escherichia coli
Lineage: Bacteria; Pseudomonadati; Pseudomonadota; Gammaproteobacteria; Enterobacterales; Enterobacteriaceae
Description: bacterial LSU rRNA
Source: RNAcentral
AGCGUACACGGUGGAUGCCCUGGCAGUCAGAGGCGAUGAAGGACGUGCUAAUCUGCGAUAAGCGUCGGUAAGGUGAUAUGAACCGUUAUAACCGGCGAUUUCCGAAUGGGGAAACCCAGUGUGUUUCGACACACUAUCAUUAACUGAAUCCAUAGGUUAAUGAGGCGAACCGGGGGAACUGAAACAUCUAAGUACCCCGAGGAAAAGAAAUCAACCGAGAUUCCCCCAGUAGCGGCGAGCGAACGGGGAGCAGCCCAGAGCCUGAAUCAGUGUGUGUGUUAGUGGAAGCGUCUGGAAAGGCGCGCGAUACAGGGUGACAGCCCCGUACACAAAAAUGCACAUACUGUGAGCUCGAUGAGUAGGGCGGGACACGUGGUAUCCUGUCUGAAUAUGGGGGGACCAUCCUCCAAGGCUAAAUACUCCUGACUGACCGAUAGUGAACCAGUACCGUGAGGGAAAGGCGAAAAGAACCCCGGCGAGGGGAGUGAAAAAGAACCUGAAACCGUGUACGUACAAGCAGUGGGAGCACGCUUCGGCGUGUGACUGCGUACCUUUUGUAUAAUGGGUCAGCGACUUAUAUUCUGUAGCAAGGUUAACCGAAUAGGGGAGCCGAAGGGAAACCGAGUCUUAACUGGGCGUUAAGUUGCAGGGUAUAGACCCGAAACCCGGUGAUCUAGCCAUGGGCAGGUUGAAGGUUGGGUAACACUAACUGGAGGACCGAACCGACUAAUGUUGAAAAAUUAGCGGAUGACUUGUGGCUGGGGGUGAAAGGCCAAUCAAACCGGGAGAUAGCUGGUUCUCCCCGAAAGCUAUUUAGGUAGCGCCUCGUGAAUUCAUCUCCGGGGGUAGAGCACUGUUUCGGCAAGGGGGUCAUCCCGACUUACCAACCCGAUGCAAACUGCGAAUACCGGAGAAUGUUAUCACGGGAGACACACGGCGGGUGCUAACGUCCGUCGUGAAGAGGGAAACAACCCAGACCGCCAGCUAAGGUCCCAAAGUCAUGGUUAAGUGGGAAACGAUGUGGGAAGGCCCAGACAGCCAGGAUGUUGGCUUAGAAGCAGCCAUCAUUUAAAGAAAGCGUAAUAGCUCACUGGUCGAGUCGGCCUGCGCGGAAGAUGUAACGGGGCUAAACCAUGCACCGAAGCUGCGGCAGCGACACUAUGUGUUGUUGGGUAGGGGAGCGUUCUGUAAGCCUGUGAAGGUGUGCUGUGAGGCAUGCUGGAGGUAUCAGAAGUGCGAAUGCUGACAUAAGUAACGAUAAAGCGGGUGAAAAGCCCGCUCGCCGGAAGACCAAGGGUUCCUGUCCAACGUUAAUCGGGGCAGGGUGAGUCGACCCCUAAGGCGAGGCCGAAAGGCGUAGUCGAUGGGAAACAGGUUAAUAUUCCUGUACUUGGUGUUACUGCGAAGGGGGGACGGAGAAGGCUAUGUUGGCCGGGCGACGGUUGUCCCGGUUUAAGCGUGUAGGCUGGUUUUCCAGGCAAAUCCGGAAAAUCAAGGCUGAGGCGUGAUGACGAGGCACUACGGUGCUGAAGCAACAAAUGCCCUGCUUCCAGGAAAAGCCUCUAAGCAUCAGGUAACAUUAAAUCGUACCCCAAACCGACACAGGUGGUCAGGUAGAGAAUACCAAGGCGCUUGAGAGAACUCGGGUGAAGGAACUAGGCAAAAUGGUGCCGUAACUUCGGGAGAAGGCACGCUGAUAUGUAGGUGAAGUCCCUCGCGGAUGGAGCUGAAAUCAGUCGAAGAUACCAGCUGGCUGCAACUGUUUAUUAAAAACACAGCACUGUGCAAACACGAAAGUGGACGUAUACGGUGUGACGCCUGCCCGGUGCCGGAAGGUUAAUUGAUGGGGUUAGCGGUAACGCGAAGCUCUUGAUCGAAGCCCCGGUAAACGGCGGCCGUAACUAUAACGGUCCUAAGGUAGCGAAAUUCCUUGUCGGGUAAGUUCCGACCUGCACGAAUGGCGUAAUGAUGGCCAGGCUGUCUCCACCCGAGACUCAGUGAAAUUGAACUCGCUGUGAAGAUGCAGUGUACCCGCGGCAAGACGGAAAGACCCCGUGAACCUUUACUAUAGCUUGACACUGAACAUUGAGCCUUGAUGUGUAGGAUAGGUGGGAGGCUUUGAAGUGUGGACGCCAGUCUGCAUGGAGCCGACCUUGAAAUACCACCCUUUAAUGUUUGAUGUUCUAACGUUGACCCGURAUCCGGGUUGCGGACAGUGUCUGGUGGGUAGUUUGACUGGGGCGGUCUCCUCCUAAAGAGUAACGGAGGAGCACGAAGGUUGGCUAAUCCUGGUCGGACAUCAGGAGGUUAGUGCAAUGGCAUAAGCCAGCUUGACUGCGAGCGUGACGGCGCGAGCAGGUGCGAAAGCAGGUCAUAGUGAUCCGGUGGUUCUGAAUGGAAGGGCCAUCGCUCAACGGAUAAAAGGUACUCCGGGGAUAACAGGCUGAUACCGCCCAAGAGUUCAUAUCGACGGCGGUGUUUGGCACCUCGAUGUCGGCUCAUCACAUCCUGGGGCUGAAGUAGGUCCCAAGGGUAUGGCUGUUCGCCAUUUAAAGUGGUACGCGAGCUGGGUUUAGAACGUCGUGAGACAGUUCGGUCCCUAUCUGCCGUGGGCGCUGGAGAACUGAGGGGGGCUGCUCCUAGUACGAGAGGACCGGAGUGGACGCAUCACUGGUGUUCGGGUUGUCAUGCCAAUGGCACUGCCCGGUAGCUAAAUGCGGAAGAGAUAAGUGCUGAAAGCAUCUAAGCACGAAACUUGCCCCGAGAUGAGUUCU